GGCUCUUUGAACAAGAAUGCCAAGGCAAGAUUGGCUACAACAGCAAGAGAGAGGCAGCAAACGAAUAAAAUUUCUGAAUUCACAUUUCUCAUCAUCAAAUAUACAGGGAUAGGGUCGAUUUAGUGAGAAGUUCAGAGAUUGGUGACAUUAGCUAAACAUCAAAGUAAAGAUUCAAAUGAAAGCAAAUAUGCCAACAGCAGAUCCCAUCUGGCCAUCUUCACUUUCCUUCAACUCGAACAUUUUCAAGAUCUCAUAAGCAAAAUCUUAUCUAUGGUUUGCCUCCAAUUCUUCUUUAGUUCCAGAUUCACUCAGCAAUCUGCAACAAACAGCCAAAGAACCCACCUGGGAAAACCCAGAUUUCUGCACCAAUUCCAGCUGAAAUUUAUUCUAAAGAAGCCCAGAGCCUGAUCAAGUUCAGCAAGGCCUUUCCAUGACACAACAAUUAUGUGUUAUAGCUAAUCAUACUUCUCUCUCCAUGAGUAAACAAGAAAGAAAACCCAGGAAAGAGCCAAUGCAAUAUCACCCACAACCUGCCUUGGCAAAUCAUGAGCUAGAUCUUCAAGCUUCCACUCAAAGUAAAUUCUCCAAAAAGCCACUGAAACAUGAAUCAGAACACAACCCUUUGCAAAAAAGCUUUGGAAUUCUCUAUCCUUGACAAAUGCCACCAUAAAUAACAGGAAACCAAUGGCAAAUAAGAGCAACCCAGAAAAGGAAUCAGAGGUUUGGAUCAAGAGUUGGUCACGGGGUGUUGAUCCUUUCAGCUUAGAAGCUACCUCAAUGCCAUGGCCAAACACAGAGGCCUCAUUCGUGUAAAACAUCAUCAGAAUUCCACAGGUUAGAGCUAUCAAAGAAUGAAGCAUACAUAUCAGAAAGAACCCAAAUGAGCCCAUUUGAUCAGGAAAAAUAUUAAGCUUUUUUAUCUCCUUCCCUUACCAACACAAAUCAAGUACAAAUAACUGAAAAACAAAGCCUUUUAACCUUAGCUAUCAAUGCAUCAUCCGAUGUGAAAAGAGAAAUAGGAAAAAGAGAAAUAGGAACCCAAUUGAUAUAAACCAUUAACCGACUUAUUUUUAAUGUUUUAUCAGAAAGAGAAGAAGAUGAAAUCACUGCUCAAAAUCCUGAUCCCAGGAUUCUUACAAUAAACCAGAAUGAAAACUCAUUGAUCAAGACGCCAAAAAAGACCUUCCCAACUAACUGUAACAUAACUUUAAUCAGAAAUCAAAAUUCAUCAAACACGAUAGACCCACAUACACAAUUUAAUUUUCAAUUUAUAGCAUACUACAAGAGCCCACUGUUCCGGCAACAAGAACCAUUAAAUUAAGCUCUAAUCCCAAAUUUAGCCAAAUCCAGUUGCACAAAGAGAUCCAAAUAAAAAACCUUUGUAUCCAAAACCCCACAACCAAAACUAAGGAGCUGAAGAGUCAAUGACAAUGAAACAAAUGAAUCGACGCUGAAGGUGUGGGGUUUCAGUAGGGAGAUUAGUGUUCAAUUUUGGAUAUAAGCGUUUA
RNAcentral lists this unclassified non-coding RNA (1508 nucleotides) under Hevea brasiliensis (rubber tree). The record is from RNAcentral. Lineage: Eukaryota; Viridiplantae; Streptophyta; Magnoliopsida; Malpighiales; Euphorbiaceae.